RNAcentral lists this ribosomal RNA (265 nucleotides) under uncultured archaeon. Its description in RNAcentral is "partial 16S ribosomal RNA". It matches the Rfam family "Archaeal small subunit ribosomal RNA", at positions 714 to 982 of the family's 1478-position model. The record is from RNAcentral.
AGACGUCUACAUUAGAUACCCCCGUAGUCCCAGCCGUAAACGAUGCGCGUUAGGUGUAUCGACGACCACGAGUCGUCGAGGUGCCGAAGGGAAACCGUGAAACGUGCCGCCUGGGAAGUACGGUCGCAAGGCUGAAACUUAAAGGAAUUGGCGGGGGAGCACCACUACAGGUGGAGCCUGCGGUUUAAUUGGACUCAACGCCGGAAAUCUCACCGGAUAAGACAGCAGAAUGAUUGCCGGGCUGAAGACUCUGCAUGACUAGCUG